This 1035-nucleotide long non-coding RNA is filed under the name Monodelphis domestica (gray short-tailed opossum). RNAcentral describes it as "lncRNA (ENSMODG00000044560.1)". Lineage: Eukaryota; Metazoa; Chordata; Mammalia; Didelphimorphia; Didelphidae. The record is from RNAcentral.
AUUCUAGUUUAGGACCAGGAAUUUUAGGGAAAUCAUCUCAGUGAAAGGGCUUUGCUCAGGGGAUUCAGAAGAGAGAUGCCCACUUUAAUCCUGCAGGGCAGGAUUCAAGCAAUCAUUUCUGGAAAUUCUGCCCUCUCCAAUCAAACCUUCCCUUGUAACAGGAAAACAAUUAAGGGGAAAAAAAAAAGAAAAACAAUUAAGCACAAACAUCCCCCACAACGAUCUCAUCUGAUGAUGCAUGAAACAUUUUCAACUAGUAAUCUCUCUUCUUUUCAUCAUCUGAUCCUGGAGGCUGAAUUUUAGAGGUCAGUGAUUCUGCUGAUUCCUCCCUUCUCUUGUCUCUUUUCCUUUUCCUCUGUCCUUCCAAAUUCCUUACCUCUUCAGCCUGACCUUUAUAAGAGGAGGUAGAAAUCGAAAUUUUAAAGCAAUCUUUUUCAUGCUUGUUUGUCAUAACCUUCUAAAGAAUUUUAUUCUGUUAAUUCAUCCAUAAAUUCCCUACUGUGAACAUUAAAGUCACUGCACAAAAGAAACCCCACUCACAUCACCUACUGUCUGAUCUGUUUUCUUCAGCCAGUAAGCUCAAAUGUGAGGUUGGUUUUCCCAUUUAUCUGAAUAUUUUCAGAAUAUCCUCUUGAGAUGUGGAUAUUUCUAAUCAGCUGAAAUUUUAAACAAUUCCUUUGGCUGGGAUACAGUUGGUAUUUCUUACUGUUGGUCUGGAAUUCAGCCUCUGUGUUGAGCUGAGUCUCCUACAGGAUAGUCUUUGGCCUUACGACCAGGAGAGGUCUGUAGAUGUUGGGAUAUGAUGGGGUGGGGGCAGGAUCUGUGGGGCAUUUCCAAUUUUUGAAAAUCUCUGAUUCCACUGAAAAUCCUCAGCAUUUUAGGACUAAAAGAUGUGUCUAGCAAAUGUGGGGAUCUACCUAGUUGUCAUAUUAACAAGAAAAACAACUGUAUCUCAGCAUUUAUUUAAUAAUCUUAAUUCUUUUAUCUAGGUUUAGAUUAAAACAGUUUUCACAAUAAUUGAUUUUUAGCCUUUAU